UUCCUAUCUAGGUCACUCCUGCAAACAUUAGCUCAUUCUUACCAUAGACAAAGUAAUAACAGUGUUUUUCUGUUUUCCCAGAGUUGUACUUCCGGGACUCAGCACAUCAGAUAAUGCAGCUUUGUUAGCCUGGGACACGGGUCAUAAAAGUUUUCAAAGUAACAUAAUAACUUCAGUUGCUCUAUACAAACUUGAAGGUAACCUAAAUCCUGGAGAGAGACGAACUGGUGGUGAAUGGCACCACGCUCAGAACGGCUUGGAUUUCCCUUGGCAGUGGCACACGGCCCUGGAGAGUCACCUGGAGGCAGAGGUGAGCUAUGGCACUGUUACUGGGUUACCAUCUUAGACGAGUAACAUUGCUGGGAUACAGAACAUCCUUAUACACAACGACUUUUGAUGUGCUGCAUUGAAAACACAGUUUAAUUCAAGCAAAACCAAGAAAUUGAAAGCACUCGAGAAAGGGCUGCUUGCAUUGACGUGAGGCUGGCGUUGAGUAAUUUGGGAGAGUGCUAGUUUAGUACCGGGCUUGCUCUGCAGCCAUCAACACACGCCAGCAGGUAUGAAAAGCAGCCAAGGAAUGAGUUCCAGCGAAACCACAC
Molecule: long non-coding RNA, 599 nt
Filed under: Gallus gallus (chicken)
Lineage: Eukaryota; Metazoa; Chordata; Aves; Galliformes; Phasianidae
Description: long non-coding RNA NONGGAT004873
Source: RNAcentral